GAUGAACGCUAGCGGCAGGCUUAACACAUGCAAGUCGAGGGGUAUAGUUCUUCGGAACUAGAGACCGGCGCACGGGUGCGUAACGCGUAUGCAAUCUACCUUUUGCAGAGGGAUAGCCCAGAGAAAUUUGGAUUAAUACCUCAUAGUAUGUGAGAAUGGCAUCAUUUUCACAUUAAAGUCACAACGGCAAAAGAUGAGCAUGCGUCCCAUUAGCUAGUUGGUAAGGUAACGGCUUACCAAGGCAACGAUGGGUAGGGGUCCUGAGAGGGAGAUCCCCCACACUGGUACUGAGACACGGACCAGACUCCUACGGGAGGCAGCAGUGAGGAAUAUUGGACAAUGGGCGCAAGCCUGAUCCAGCCAUGCCGCGUGCAGGAUGACGGUCCUAUGGAUUGUAAACUGCUUUUGUACAGGAAGAAACACUGGUUCGUGAACCAGCUUGACGGUACUGUAAGAAUAAGGAUCGGCUAACUCCGUGCCAGCAGCCGCGGUAAUACGGAGGAUCCAAGCGUUAUCCGGAAUCAUUGGGUUUAAAGGGUCCGUAGGCGGUUUAGUAAGUCAGUGGUGAAAGCCCAUCGCUCAACGGUGGAACGGCCAUUGAUACUGCUAGACUUGAAUUAUUAGGAAGUAACUAGAAUAUGUAGUGUAGCGGUGAAAUGCUUAGAGAUUACAUGGAAUACCAAUUGCGAAGGCAGGUUACUACUAAUGGAUUGACGCUGAUGGACGAAAGCGUGGGUAGCGAACAGGAUUAGAUACCCUGGUAGUCCAC
This 769-nucleotide ribosomal RNA is filed under the name uncultured bacterium. RNAcentral describes it as "bacterial SSU rRNA". It matches the Rfam family "Bacterial small subunit ribosomal RNA", at positions 28 to 798 of the family's 1533-position model. The record is from RNAcentral.